Triplophysa dalaica is the source of this 864-nucleotide long non-coding RNA. RefSeq lists it as uncharacterized. The record is from RefSeq and is a predicted model, not a curated record. The transcript is spliced from 5 exons. Lineage: Eukaryota; Metazoa; Chordata; Actinopteri; Cypriniformes; Nemacheilidae.
AAGUAUCCAUGCGUGACAUGAAGUGCACGUGUACGGGAGUUCUCCAUCAUGUGUUUUUAUCAGGGGACAAUCCCCCUGGAGCAACAUGGAGUAAAGUGUCUUGCUCAAGGACACACUGGUGGUGGAUGCUGGGAUCGAACCAGCAACCUUUGAUUUACCAGUUCAGUGGUUUAACCCACUAGACCACCAUCUCCACGUUGAUUUAUGUGGAAGCCACAAGAAACCUGCUUGACAGCGUCUGUCAAAGAGAGACACAAGUACAGAUGAAUGAAGAAAGACAGGCGGGUAUUUACUGGCCAUUAAUUGUCACACAUUUAAUUGGCCUUAAAAGCUCUGAAUUAUACCAAUACAAUAACAUCAACAGGUCACGCUACAUCUGCAGCCAUAAACUCAAACCUGUAGAACAACAAACAUCAACAGGAACACAAAAGAUUCGCCUUCAUGUUCAUGUGCGGCCAGCUAACUAUCAAAUGUUCAAUGAAAAAGGAUUGAAACGCUCCACUAACAAUAUCCACAGCUGGAGAUCACGUGUUAACCCCGUGACAUGAGCUUCAACAGAUCCAGCAGCAGAUCUCCUGAAGUCUUCUUCUGUGAAGCGUUGUCUUGAGAUACGAAUCUCACGUCAUCCACACAUUCUGAAUCCAGAACACAGCUCUCUGUAAAACAACAAGUUCCAGAGCUUCAGAUUGACAUAAAGAGUGAAGAAUCAGUUUGUCAUGAGCAGUGUUGACAAAGGUUAUUAAAUGACAGUCACUCAUUACUUAGUGAUUUAGUUACACCUAACACUGGUAAUGAGUGAGACUCACGAGAAUGGCAGCAGACCCCCGGAGCGGCGCAGCGGCCACCUUCAGCUCCACACAAUCU